CUACGGGAGGCAGCAGUGGGGAAUAUUGGACAAUGGGCGCAAGCCUGAUCCAGCCAUGCCGCGUGAGUGAUGAAGGCCUUAGGGUUGUAAAGCUCUUUUGUCUGGGAAGAUAAUGACUGUACCGGAAGAAUAAGCCCCGGCUAACUUCGUGCCAGCAGCCGCGGUAAUACGAAGGGGGCUAGCGUUGUUCGGAAUCACUGGGCGUAAAGCGCACGUAGGCGGAUUGUUAAGUCAGAGGUGAAAUCCCGGAGCUCAACUUCGGAACUGCCUUUGAUACUGGCAAUCUCGAGUCUGGAAGAGGUUGGUGGAACUGCGAGUGUAGAGGUGAAAUUCGUAGAUAUUCGCAAGAACACCAGUGGCGAAGGCGGCCAACUGGUCCAGUACUGACGCUGAGGUGCGAAAGCGUGGGGAGCAAACAGGAUUAGAUACCCGAGUAGUCC
RNAcentral lists this ribosomal RNA (440 nucleotides) under uncultured bacterium. Its description in RNAcentral is "bacterial SSU rRNA". It matches the Rfam family "Bacterial small subunit ribosomal RNA", at positions 339 to 796 of the family's 1533-position model. The record is from RNAcentral.